GGUUUUUGUUUUUGUUUUUUAAUGUAUCCACUUAAAAUCAUAUCUCUGCCUAGAGAGCAAAUGGGGCUUGGGGUAAAGGUCUUCGAAGACGAUGAGCUUUGCAAAUCAAGGGAGAAAAGUCUUAAUCCAAGAAGAUUCUGCAGUAUGACAACAGGCAGUUGUCACAUAGGACAAAGUUGUUUGAUUCCAAUAACAAAAUCAGGGAGAUCUUCAGGGUACAUCCUAGAGUAUAACUGCUUUCUUCCUUACAUCUGGAGAGUUUAGGUGCAAAAUAUUAAGAUCUAUCAUGGCAGUCAUAAAACAAUUUGUAUUUUUAUUCACCAAAGGAAUAGAUAUCAACUGAAGACCAAAAGACGCUAGAACCAAGGAUGCUCAGUAAAAAUAGCUACUGUGUGCUAAGCAUAUACUGUAUGCCAAGCUCCUUGAUAUGUAUAUUUUUUUUCAUUAAAUCUUCACAAAGACCCUAUGAAGUAAGAUCUAUCCUGUUUUUGUACAUGAAUACUUCAGAGACCUCUAGUCAUAAGUGAUAGACCCUGCAUUCAAAUCCAGACCCUUCCACCUCCAAGUCCAGGCUGUUAAUCACCAAAAUUCAGUCUGGGUCUAUCCUGACAGAUGAUCAGACAGAUGAUCAGACUGAUUCUGGUGUUUGAUUUGCAUGACUAAUAAAGUUGAAGGGAUAAAGAAUGAUUGCCAACUUCCCUAGACACCUCCACUGUGCUGAGUAGGAGCCGUGGAUCUCUGCAGAUUUGCUAGUAAAGGAAUAGUGCAGUGGUAUAAGGCUGGAGUGAAAGGGGAGGCUGGGAGUGCUGACUUUGAACAUGGUCAUUGAAAGGGCUGUUACUUGAAAAAUUUCGCAGUGUCAAGGCUGAGCAGGGAUCCAGCUGUGAACAGCCCUCUGAAGAGUGUUGAUAGAAUCUGGGCUGUCCAGCUGUGGGGGGCCCGGAAGUGCUUGAGAAGGUGACAAGCACUGAAGUCCUCCCUUAGCCCUUCCCAGCAGCUGCGGCCAUGAACAGAAGCUGCAGAGACUCCCUGCAGUCCAACAGCAGAGAGAAACUUCUUCCUGGAUGGCAUAAAGAGAACACAUAGGUCCGUGCUGGAAACUUGAAGUGACUGCUAAACUCAGCUCCAAAUGAGCAAAUUGGGAGAUUAGCUUCCUUAGAGCACGUGAUUCCACAGGUGGCACAUGGGCUGAGUGAAGAUGCAUGAUAACUCCAAAGCAAGUUGGGGUACUGCCCUUCAUAAAAGUAGUGUGU
RNAcentral lists this long non-coding RNA (1253 nucleotides) under Capra hircus (goat). Its description in RNAcentral is "lncRNA (ENSCHIG00010005714.1)". Lineage: Eukaryota; Metazoa; Chordata; Mammalia; Artiodactyla; Bovidae. The record is from RNAcentral.